CACGUAGGCACCAAGCGUUGUCCGGAUUUAUUGGGCGUAAAGAGCUCGUAGGCGGUUCAGUAAGUCGGGUGUGAAAACUUUGGGCUUAACCCAAAGCGUGCAUCCGAUACUGCUGUGACUUGAGUUCGGUAGGGGAGUGGGGAAUUCCUAGUGUAGCGGUGAAAUGCGCAGAUAUUAGGAGGAACACCGGUGGCGAAGGCGCCACUCUGGGCCGAAACUGACGCUGAGGGGCGAAAGCAUGGGUAGCAAACAGG
Molecule: ribosomal RNA, 254 nt
Filed under: uncultured bacterium
Lineage: Bacteria
Description: partial 16S ribosomal RNA
Rfam family: Bacterial small subunit ribosomal RNA
Source: RNAcentral